GAUGAAGAACGUAGCGAAAUGCGAUACGUAAUGUGAAUUGCAGAAUUCAGUGAAUCAUCGAAUCUUUGAACGCACCUUGCGCCCCUUGGCAUUCCGAGGGGCACACCCGUUUGAGUGUCGUGAACAUCCUCAACCUCCUUGGUUUUUAUCGAACCAAGUAGGAUUGGAAUUUGGAGGUUUUCUGCUGGCCUCCUCUGAAGCCAGCUCCUCUUAAAUGUAUCAGUGGGAUCCGCUUUGCUUAGAUCCUCGACGUUGAUAAGAUGUUUCUACGUCUUGGGUUUUUCUCGCAAAGGACCUGCUUCUAACCGUCCCCAUCGGGGACAACCUUUGAGCCGAUCACCCUUCACGGGGUGGGAAGCUCUUUGACCCACGAAACCUUGACCUCAAAUCGGGUGAGACUACCCGCUGAACUUAAGCAUAUCAAUAAGCGGAGGA
RNAcentral lists this unclassified non-coding RNA (435 nucleotides) under soil metagenome. RNAcentral's name for it is "partial contains 5.8S ribosomal RNA, internal transcribed spacer 2, and large subunit ribosomal RNA". The stretch from base 1 to 120 matches the Rfam family "5.8S ribosomal RNA", at positions 35 to 154 of the family's 154-position model. The record is from RNAcentral.